RNAcentral lists this ribosomal RNA (487 nucleotides) under Bemisia tabaci. RNAcentral describes it as "partial 16S ribosomal RNA". The record is from RNAcentral. Lineage: Eukaryota; Metazoa; Arthropoda; Insecta; Hemiptera; Aleyrodidae.
UCGCCUGUUUAACAAAACAUAGUUUAAAGAAAAAAAAUUUUAGAUAAAUUCUGCUCAAUGAGUAAGUUAAAUAGCUGCAGUAAAUUAACUGUACUAAGGUAGCAUAAUAAGUUGCUUUAUAAUUAAAAGCUUGAAUGAAAGAAAUAAUGUGAAAGAAGCUUUUUAAACUAAAAUAGUGAAAAUUAAUAUUUAAGUGAAAAAUCUUAAAUAGAAUCAAAAGACAAGAAGACCCUUUAGAACUUUACAAAUUGAUUUAAUAUCAUUUAGUUAAUUUGUUAAAUUGGGGAGAUUUUUAAAUAAAUAAAUCUUUAGAUAUAAAAAAAUGAUUUAAAUCAGAUUAAAUUAUCCAAAUGUGAAAUAAAACAAGUUACCUAAGGGAUAACAGCGCAAAAUUUUUGAGAAGUUCUCAUUUACAAAAUAAAUUGCGACCUCGAUGUUGGAUUAAGAACAACUUAUAAAGAAAAAUUAUAAGAGGUUGUCGUUCGCA